GUAAUAAUCCUGUAGUCGAAAAUGUUGUCUCUCUUGAGUGGAUCCUGAGUACGACGGAGCACGUGAAAUUCCGUCGGAAUCUGGGAGGACCAUCUCCUAAGGCUAAAUACUCUCUAGUGACCGAUAGUGAACCAGUACCGUGAGGGAAAGGUGAAAAGCACCCCGGAAGGGGAGUGAAAUAGAACCUGAAACCGUGUGCUUACAAGUAGUCAGAGCCCGUUAAUGGGUGAUGGCGUGCCUUUUGUAGAAUGAACCGGCGAGUUACGAUUUGAUGCAAGGUUAAGCAGUAAAUGUGGAGCCGUAGCGAAAGCGAGUCUGAAUAGGGCGUUUAGUAUUUGGUCGUAGACCCGAAACCAGGUGAUCUACCCUUGGUCAGGUUGAAGUUCAGGUAACACUGAAUGGAGGACCGAACCGACUUACGUUGAAAAGUGAGCGGAUGAACUGAGGGUAGCGGAGAAAUUCCAAUCGAACCUGGAGAUAGCUGGUUCUCUCCGAAAUAGCUUUAGGGCUAGCCUCAAGUGAUGAUUAUUGGAGGUAGAGCACUGUUUGGACGAGGGGCCCCUCUCGGGUUACCGAAUUCAGACAAACUCCGAAUGCCAAUUAAUUUAACUUGGGAGUCAGAACAUGGGUGAUAAGGUCCGUGUUCGAAAGGGAAACAGCCCAGACCACCAGCUAAGGUCCCAAAAUAUAUGUUAAGUGGAAAAGGAUGUGGCGUUGCCCAGACAACUAGGAUGUUGGCUUAGAAGCAGCCAUCAUUUAAAGAGUGCGUAAUAGCUCACUAGUCGAGUGACACUGCGCCGAAAAUGUACCGGGGCUAAACAUAUUACCGAAGCUGUGGAUUGUCCUUUGGACAAUGGUAGGAGAGCGUUCUAAGGGCGUUGAAGCAUGAUCGUAAGGACAUGUGGAGCGCUUAGAAGUGAGAAUGCCGGUGUGAGUAGCGAAAGACGGGUGAGAAUCCCGUCCACCGAUUGACUAAGGUUUCCAGAGGAAGGCUCGUCCGCUCUGGGUUAGUCGGGUCCUAAGCUGAGGCCGACAGGCGUAGGCGAUGGAUAA
Molecule: ribosomal RNA, 1053 nt
Filed under: Staphylococcus aureus
Lineage: Bacteria; Bacillati; Bacillota; Bacilli; Caryophanales; Staphylococcaceae
Description: partial 23S ribosomal RNA
Rfam family: Bacterial large subunit ribosomal RNA
Source: RNAcentral